This 342-nucleotide unclassified non-coding RNA is filed under the name soil metagenome. RNAcentral's name for it is "partial contains 5.8S ribosomal RNA, internal transcribed spacer 2, and large subunit ribosomal RNA". The stretch from base 1 to 120 matches the Rfam family "5.8S ribosomal RNA", at positions 35 to 154 of the family's 154-position model. The record is from RNAcentral.
GAUGAAGAACGUAGUGAAAUGCGAUAAGUAGUGUGAAUUGCAGAAUUCAGUGAAUCAUCGAAUCUUUGAACGCACAUUGCGGCCAUAGGUAUUCCUUUGGCCAUGCCUGUUCGAGCGUCAUUUACACCCUCAAGCCUAGCUUGGUGUUGGGCGUCUGUCCCGCCGUUCUCGCGCGCGGACUCGCCUCAAAGUCAUUGGCGGCGGUCGUGCCGGCCCCCUCGCGCAGCACAUUUGCGCUUCUCGGAGGCCCGGCGGAUCCGCGCUCCAGCAAGACCUUUCACGACUUGACCUCGGAUCAGGUAGGGAUACCCGCUGAACUUAAGCAUAUCAAUAAGCGGAGGA